UUCUGAAGUGCCAAAGACAGAUGUCGAAGCAAGACCACCUUCUGUUUCUCCACAAAGGGAGCCUAGUCCAAGACACUGCGAACCUAUCUGCGAAGAAGACGUGAAAGAGUCUUCCCCGGAAACUGAGUCCGCUUCUGAAUCUGACCGACUUGCCGCUCAGGAGAUUGAUGAAGAUGAAGAAGAAGCACCAACUUUACUCAGGUUAAGUGGCUCGAGGGUUCGAUCCAGGAGCUCUUCAUCGUCUGAUAUUGAUGAAGGAGAAUCUAGGCUAAUGGUGCUUCAAAAUGAGCUCAU
Molecule: long non-coding RNA, 294 nt
Organism: Stegodyphus dumicola
Lineage: Eukaryota; Metazoa; Arthropoda; Arachnida; Araneae; Eresidae
Source: RefSeq, a predicted model, not a curated record